RNAcentral lists this ribosomal RNA (119 nucleotides) under Salmo salar (Atlantic salmon). Lineage: Eukaryota; Metazoa; Chordata; Actinopteri; Salmoniformes; Salmonidae. The record is from RNAcentral.
GCAUACGGCCAUACCAGCCUGGGUACGCCCGAUCUCGUCUGAUUUCGGAAGCGAAGCAGGGUCGGGCCUGGUUAGUACUUGGAUGGGAGACCGCCUGGGAAUACCAGGUGCUGUAAGCA